AUUGAACGCUGGCGGCAGGCCUAACACAUGCAAGUCGAACGAGUGGCGGACGGGUGAGUAAUGUCUGGGAAACUGCCUGAUGGAGGGGGAUAACUACUGGAAACGGUAGCUAAUACCGCAUACCAUCAGAGGUGCCCAGAUGGGAUUAGCUUGUGGGUGGGGUAAAGGCUAACCCAGGCGACGAUCUCUAGCUGGUCUGAGAGGAUGACCAGCUACACUGGUACUGAGCCACGGGCCAGGAUCCUGCGGGAGGCAGCAGUGGGGAAUAUUGCACAAUGGGCGCAAGCCUGAUGCAGCCAUGCCGCGUGUAUGAAGAAGGCCUUAGGGUUGUAAAGUACUUUCAGCGUGGAGGCGUUACCCGCAGAAGAAGCACCGGCUAACUCCGUGCCAGCAGCCGCGGUAAUAC
RNAcentral lists this ribosomal RNA (406 nucleotides) under uncultured bacterium. RNAcentral describes it as "partial 16S ribosomal RNA". It matches the Rfam family "Bacterial small subunit ribosomal RNA", at positions 30 to 526 of the family's 1533-position model. The record is from RNAcentral.